RNAcentral lists this long non-coding RNA (1310 nucleotides) under Brachypodium distachyon (stiff brome). Its description in RNAcentral is "long non-coding RNA (BDIS_LNC003988)". Lineage: Eukaryota; Viridiplantae; Streptophyta; Magnoliopsida; Poales; Poaceae. The record is from RNAcentral.
ACUCAUGUUCCUUUUCUUCUUCUUAAAGCUAGUUAAACUAAACCCAUAUUGCUUUAGGAACGCUAUACGCUUCACCGUGUCCAGGGGCGGUGGCAGGGCCGGUGCUAGACGUGCUGUAGCACCCGUAGCAAAGAUAUUUGUUAAAGAAGGUGUUGGUUAUUAGCUCAAAUUAUGAAAGAAUCACAACUAUAGCACAUGAAACCUGUCUUAAUUAGCAUCCUUCUUCUCUAGUUUCUGGCUCGAUCCGCCGAAGACCGUGUCAGAUCAAAUCAUAAGGGCGUGUACUAAUAUUCGGAACAAAACCUAGUGCUGUCCACUUCACACUGUACAUCCAUGUCCAUGGCAGAUUAUCUGUAUGUUGCAUACCCUGUCAGAUUAAGACAUCACAGACCGUACACUACUAACGGUAGUCAAAUUUACUGUUCCGUCGAAAUUACUUGUCGAAUUAUUACAUUAUGUAGAUGUUUUUAACACAUAGAUAAAUCUGAAUUUGGGCAAUUUGAGACAAAUAAUACGUGAGUAGUUACGCUCCACGGCUACGUUGCAAAUUUACCAGCACUGAGCAAGAUGCUAUCAACGACACCUCAAACAUCUAUGCCGAUGAACAUAACCUUUAGUUCUUUCUUGUAAGUUUCUCCAAAAAAAAAAAUCUAACGUAGAAAAAAUAUCUCUGUUUUUAACUGCUACCCAAACAUGGUUACAUUGAUCCCCGUUCUUCUUGAGCGAACUGAUAGAAAAUUCAUACUCCAGUGCACAUUCUGUGGCACCGUGCCUACGAGCAUAGGGAAUGCCAUAAUUUAAGCCCUGGUCAGUUCGGUGUUCGAAGCUUCUAAUUUCUAAAUAUACAUAGUACUCAGCCGCACACUAGACUGAGGUUAAAUAUUCACAAGAAAGUGAACGUGUUAUUCCUAGACUCUUUAAGGGUGUCUUAGAGGCCGAGAUUGUAUAACCAGUUGCAAAAGCGCUUGCUUUGGAUAAUGCAUUUUUAGAACGGGAUAAUGCCGUAGUUCUGUGCAAUGUUGCCUCUUGAUAUUUCCAUCUUGAAACUCCAUGUGGUAACUCAAAUUACAGAGAUUAAAUAAUUAUUCCCUCCGUUUCUAAAUAUAAGAAGUUCUAACUUUGUCCUAAGUUUAAAAAAAUCAAGUUUGGCCAGGUUCAUAGAAAAAUCAACCAACAUAUAGAACUCGAAAUUAGUUUUAUUAAACAUUUUGCUAUUUUUAAGACAACUGAGAAAAAAAUGUUUCUACGUCGAUGUUAACAACCAUCCGAUCUAACAUUGGAGAUUCGUGCAAGUGCGAAAGACGAUUUUU